CCCCUAGAUGUUCUGGGCCGCACGCGCGCUACACUGAACAGUUCAACAAGUCUUAACCUUGGCCGAUAGGUCUGGGUAAUCUUUGAACGCUGUUCGUGAUUGGGAUAGACCUUUGCAAUUAUGGGUCUUCAACGAGGAAUUCCUAGUAAACGCAAGUCAUCAGCUUGCAUUGAUUACGUCCCUGCCCUUUGUACACACCGCCCGUCGCACCUACCGAUUGAAUGGUCCGGUGAAAUCUCAGGACGGCGGCUUGGUCGCUUGCGUCCGACUGCUGAAACUUGAUUAAACCAUAUCAUUUAGAGGAAGGUGAAGUCGUANCA
Molecule: ribosomal RNA, 320 nt
Filed under: uncultured eukaryote
Lineage: Eukaryota
Description: partial 18S ribosomal RNA
Rfam family: Eukaryotic small subunit ribosomal RNA
Source: RNAcentral